Molecule: ribosomal RNA, 391 nt
Filed under: uncultured bacterium
Lineage: Bacteria
Description: bacterial SSU rRNA
Rfam family: Bacterial small subunit ribosomal RNA
Source: RNAcentral
AUUGAACGCUGGCGGCAUGCCUUACACAUGCAAGUCGAACGGCAGCACGGGGGCAACCCUGGUGGCGAGUGGCGGACGGGUGAGUAAUGCAUCGGAACGUGCCCUGAAGUGGGGGAUAACGCAGCGAAAGCUACGCUAAUACCGCAUAUUCUGUGAGCAGGAAAGCAGGGGAUCGCAAGACCUUGCGCUUUGGGAGCGGCCGAUGUCGGAUUAGCUAGUUGGUGGGGUAAAGGCCUACCAAGGCGACGAUCCGUAGCGGGUCUGAGAGGAUGAUCGCCACACUGGGACUGAGACACGGCCCAGACUCCUACGGGAGGCAGCAGUGGGGAAUUUUGGACAAUGGGCGAAAGCCUGAUCCAGCCAUGCCGCGUGAGUGAAGAAGGCCUUCGGG